CCCUUAGAUGUUCUGGGCUGCACGCGCGCUACACUGACGCACGCAACAGGUGCCUGCUCCGAGAGGACUGGGUAAUCAUUUGAGUGUGCGUCGUGAUGGGGAUAGAAUAUUGUAAUUAUUACUCUUCAACGAGGAAUUCCUAGUAAGCGCAAGUCAGCAGCUUGCGCUGAUUACGUCCCUGCCCUUUGUACACACCGCCCGUCGCUCCUACCGAUGGGUGAUCCGGUGAAUGAUUCGGACUUCAGCGGCUCCUCUGGGGUGCGCCGGAGAAAGUUUUGUGAACCUUAUCACUUGGAGGAAGGAGAAGGCGUAACA
This 315-nucleotide ribosomal RNA is filed under the name uncultured eukaryote. RNAcentral describes it as "partial 18S ribosomal RNA". It matches the Rfam family "Eukaryotic small subunit ribosomal RNA", at positions 1470 to 1796 of the family's 1831-position model. The record is from RNAcentral.